RNAcentral lists this ribosomal RNA (433 nucleotides) under uncultured bacterium. Its description in RNAcentral is "partial 16S ribosomal RNA". It matches the Rfam family "Bacterial small subunit ribosomal RNA", at positions 29 to 507 of the family's 1533-position model. The record is from RNAcentral.
AGCGAACGCUGGCGGCAGGCCUAACACAUGCAAGUCGAACGGAUCCUUCGGGAUUAGUGGCGGACGGGUGAGUAACACGUGGGGACGUGCCCUUUGGUUCGGAACAACUCAGGGAAACUUGAGCUAAUACCGGAUGUGCCCUUCGGGGGAAAGAUUUAUCGCCAUUGGAGCGGCCCGCGUCUGAUUAGCUAGUUGGUGAGGUAACGGCCCACCAAGGCGACGAUCAGUAGCUGGUCUGAGAGGAUGAUCAGCCACACUGGGACUGAGACACGGCCCAGACUCCUACGGGAGGCAGCAGUGGGGAAUCUUGCGCAAUGGGCGAAAGCCUGACGCAGCCAUGCCGCGUGAAUGAUGAAGGUCUUAGGAUUGUAAAAUUCUUUCAGCGGGAACGAUAAUGACGGUACCCGCAGAAGAAGCGCCGGCUAACUUCGUG